AAACACCCUCAUAAAAUGUGUCGUGUCAGAGAAGAAAUCAGGGACACCGUUGGAGAAAACGUAGAAGUUGAAGAAUCUGACAUCUCCCGGCUCCCCUACCUACAGGCGGUGGUUAAAGAGACGUUCCGCCUCCACCCCGCCGCCCCUUUCCUGGUUCCCCACAAGGCCGACGCCGACGUCGAAAUCGACGGCUACACCGUCCCGAAAAACGCCCAGGUUCUUAUUAACGUGUGGGCGAGCGGCAGAGAUCCCGACACGUGGCUGGAGGCGGAAUUGUUCUCGCCGGAGAGGUUUAUGGAUGGCCGGCAGAUAGAUUUCAGGGGGAAAGAUUUCGAGCUGAUUCCGUUCGGAUCGGGAAGGAGGAUUUGCCCGGGUUUGCCGUUGGCUUAUCGAAUGGUGCACCUCAUGUUGGCGAAUUUUGUGGGAAAUUUUGAAUGGAGGUUAGAUGGAGAUUGUAAGGAAAUCGANNNNNNNNNNNNNNNNNNNNNNNNNNNNNNNNNNNNNNNNNNNNNNNNNNNNNNNNNNNNNNNNNNNNNNNNAAAAAAAAGAACGAAAUAAGGUUGUUCGUGUUGAAAUAUAAUGCACUUUCUAGAAAUGUGUCUACAUGCAUGUAUAUUGUAUGAUAGGAUACAUGAAUAGGUAAGUACAUAAAUCUUUAGACACAUUAUGUACCUCAUAUGCCUACACCAGUAUAAAUAGGUCUUGAGUUUGUAGUUGUAAUAACAACAUGUAUUGACAAGAGUAAAUUAUGUAGGAAUAUGUAAUCAUCAGUAUUUCUUUAUUAAUCUUGUUCAUAUAUUGGCUGCAAAAUAUUCAACAUGGUAUCAAAGCCCGUUUGUUCAUAUUCAAUUAGGGAAUUAAAAAAAAAAGGGUCGUGUUGAAUUAGUUGAUCACACAUUCAAUUAACUGAAGAAAAAGAAAAAAACCCAAAGGAUUACGUAUCUAAAAUCAAACCAAGAAGGAGAUUUCAUGACAAGUUCUAGAAUCACUCGUGAAUAAAGAAGGAGAAUUCAAUGGCAAGUUCCAGAAUCCCUCAACCUCUUCCCAUGUUUGUCGGUAAAAACUUUGUGCAAAAAGUGUAAAAACUCACAUGAUGAGAAGUAAGAAUGUAUUCCCAUGUAGUUUCCAUGUAGUAUUUUCAAGUCAAAACACUUGGAGAAGGAUUGCAACCACACCCCAAGGCACAAACUAACAAAAUAGAUAUUUGACAAAGAGUAUUUGUUUUUUGCUAAUCAAUUUUCAGAAUAAGAAAACAAAGAGUAUUUGUUUUUUGCUAGUUAAUUUUCAGAAUAAGAAAACAAAGAGUAUUUGUUUUUUGCUAGUUAAUUUUCAGAGUGAGAAAAAGAUUUCAAUCCGAAGGGUAUUGAAGCUGACGAAAAAAAUACAUUAAAGAGUGGUAUUCUUUCUAGAAAUAUAUCUAUAUGCAUUUAUGAUGUAUGAUAGGAUACACGAGUAGGAAAGUACACGAAUCUUUAGAAAAAUGUGUAUUUAGAAUUCUUGAUAAAUCUUAUAUAUUCAAUACAUGUACCUCAUAUACCUAGAAAGCUAGACUAGUAUAAAUAAGUUUUGAGUUUGUACUUGUAAUUAACCAUGUAUUGACAAGAGUAAAAUAUGCAGGAGAUACGUGCUCCUCAAAUAUUUUCUUGUUAAUCUUAUUCAUAUAUCUCCGCAAACUAGUCAACAGUUUGAGGUUUGGAUUGGUACAAUAUUGAGCAUAUAUUUUAUGUCUAAUAUAUAUAUAUAUAUUCAAACCGUGAAAUUCUUUAUUGUGAAGCCUAAUAUGCGAGCCCACUUAAAAACCCUGAAGGCCAGUAUUCAUGUCACUUGAGAAAAAAAAACCAUUCAAAUUCAAACAAGGAAGAAAACAUUCCAUUGACAUUUGAGGUAUAUGUUUUUCAUAACGAAGUUCUUUUUUGUUUUAAAGAAGGUAACCUUUUAUAUAAAGAGGUAAUAUGCUAUGAGGUCCUCAAAUGAAAUCAAUUUUAAUUUAAUGACAAAUUCAAAUCCUUAUUUAAAUUAUUAGUUUGAAAUAAUAUAUGAGCCACAUCUUUAUUUUUUGGGGUUAUAUGAGAUAACCCCCUCAUACAAUUUUUUUAGAGGCAUAAAUCCAUAUUUUUAUUUACUAUUAGGGAUAACCCCUUAUUAAGAUUAAUACCUCAUUUACCCUUAUUAUAUCCAUAAAAAUAUAAUUAAAUUAUUAUUGCUAAAAUAACUCCCCUAAAAUAACUCCCCUUAAAUCUCUCACCAACUCCCCCAUAUCUCUCUCACAAUGCAAAUCACGUGUUUCGGUUUUUCUUAUGAUUCUUUAUACAAUAUUUUUGUAAUUUCCAUUUAAAAAAUAUAAUUCUUUUUUUUCAAUUUUCAUUUUUUUUUAAUUGGUUUUUUACGGCAAGUUUAACAAAAAAUUGAAAUCCACUACAUACUUAUUGAAAACCACUAUAAAUUCAUCUUUUACAAUUUUUUUGUAAUUUCAAUUCAAAAAAUAUAUAUAUAUAUAUAUAUAUAUAUAUAUAUAUAUAUAUAUAUAUAUAUAUAUAUAUAUAUAUAUAUAUAUAUAUAUAUAUAUAUAUAUAUAUAUAUAUAUAUAUAUAUAUAUAUAUAUAUAUAUAUUUGUUUUCAAUUUUCAUUUUUUUUAAUUGAUUUUUUUUUACCGCAAGUUUAACAAAAAAUUGAAAUCCACUACAUACUCAUUGAAAACCACUAUAAAUUAAUUGAGAAUAACUAUUCGAUUAACAUAGAAAUCAAUAUGAAAUUAUCGUAAUCAACUUUAAUAUUAAUAUAAUGCACUACAAACGUAUCGAAAUCGAAUAAAAAUUUACAUAAUCCACUACGAAUUAACGUAAUCUAUUACAAAAUUAUCAAAAUCCAGUACAAAGUUAUCAAAAUCCACUUUAUAGGUUAAAGUAAUCCACUACAAAAUUAACGCAAUAUAUGGAUUGAAAUCCACUACAUACUCAUUGAAAACCACUAUAAAUUCAUCGAAAACCACUAUUCGGUUAACGUAGAAAUCAAUAUGAAAUUAUCGUAAUCAACUUUCAUAUUAAAUAUAGUGCACUACAAACGUAUCGAAAUCGAAUAUAAAUUUACAUAAUCCACUACGAAUUAACGUAAUUCAUUACAAAAUUAUCAAAAUCCAGUACAAAGUUAUCAAAAUCCACUUUAUAGGUUAAAGUAAUUCACUACAAAAUUAACGUAAUAUAUGGAUUGAAAUCCACUAAAUACUCAUUGAAAACCACUAUAAAUUCAUCGAAAACCACUAUUCGAUUAACGUAGAAAUCAGUAUGAAAUUAUCGUAAUCAACUUUCAUAUUAAUAUAGUACACUACAAACGUAUCGAAAUCGAAUAUAAAUUUACAUAAUCCACUACGAAUUAACGUAAUCCAUUACAAAAUUAUCCAAAUCCACUACAAAGUUAUCAAAAUCCAUUUAAUAGGUUAAAGUAAUUCACUACAAAAUUAACGUAAUAUUUGGAUUGAAAUCCACUACAUACUCAUUGAAAACCACUAUAAAUUCAUCGAAAACCACUAUUCGAUUAACGUAGAAAUCAGUAUGAAAUUGAAUAUAAAUUUACAUAAUCCACUACGAAUUAACGUAAUCCAUUACAAAAUUAUCAAAAUCCACUACAAAGUUAUCAAAAUCCACUUUAUAGGUUAAAGUAAUCCACUACAAAAUUAACGUAAUAUAUGGUUAAUCCACUAAAAAAAUAUCGUAGAAAAACACUUAUGCAUCAACAACAAACUUAUCAAAAUCCACUACAAGCUUCCGAAUUUAUGAUAGCGUUGCUCGUGGUUUUCGUUAGGUUAGAGUGACCCGGUGAUAAACACUACAAACUUAUCAUCACCCAACAUCGUCUCACUUGCUGCCAUCACCCGCUUGUGCAAGAACCUAAACCAAAGAAAAAUAAGACAACAACGUGUCAAUUUAAUUCAUUCACUAAAAUUCGGUCUCCAAAGCAAAAAUUUAAAAUCCACUAUAAUCUCGUCAAAACCCACUACAAAAAUUAUCGAAAUCCACUAAAAUAUUAACAUAAUCCACUACGAAAUUAGUUAAUCCACUAAAAAAUUACAACAACAGUAUAAUAACAAAUAUUCAAAUAGUGACCGAAAACAUGAAGGAGCCUCAAAAGUAUAUUGAAAAUCUCAUAUAUAUAAUAGCUCAUUCAACAAUUCAACUAGUUGUCACUUCUAUUUUGUUAUCCAUCAUAUAGAAUUUAUUUAUGGAUAUAAAGAAAAAAUGAUAGCAAAAAAAUAGCAGCAAACCAACAUCUUAAAACAGCAGCAAAGCAACACGAAAACAACAGCAAAACAACAACAAAAUCAGCUGCAAAUUAGGAGCCAAACAGCAGCAAAGCCAAAAGAAAACAGCAGCAAAAAAACAGCAGCAAAAACAGCAGCAAAAAACAGCAGAAAAAACAGCAGCAAAAAACAGCAGCAGCAGCAAAAAACAGCAGCAAAAAACAGCAGCAAAAUGGCAUCCAAACAAUAGCCAAUUGUAGCUAAAAAAUACAAUAAAUAAAUUAUAAUUCUAAAUUUUCAGAAAAAAAAUAUCCAAAAUUUGAAAAUAUUUUUGGAAAUUAUGGAAUUUUCGAUAAUAUUUAGUGCUUCACCUUAUUGAUUCGUAUUGUAUUUCUUAUUAAAAAUUAUCAAAUUUCAAAACCAAAACAUGUUUGAAAUAAGACAUUAUCAAAUUUCAAAACCAAAACAUGUUUGAAAUCAGAAGAAUUUAUAUAAAAAAAUAUGAAAUCAUGGGAUGAAAAAUCAAAAAACCUAAAGCGACGAAGUAUUUUCGCAUACCUUAUAAUCAACAACCGCCGACGAGAAAGAGAACCGCGAUGAACUUAUCUAUUUGCCGACAAAAUAUAGAGGGAAUGAGACAAAUCGUUCUGCGUUUUGGGAAAACAUACCAACUUCGUGGGUAAGCGGAUCUCGUCAGCGAGUGAGAAGACGAUUAACAAGAUGGACAGAUCUGGUAGUAUGUAACGAGGGGCGGCGAUGGUGGUGGGAAAAGAGAGGGGCGGCGGCCGAGCAGGAGAAGGGCGGAGAUGGUGUGGUCAUCCGGUGAGACGACGAGGUUGUGGAGCAAGAUUAUGGCGUGACUGUGGAGAGAAAGAAGGAAGAAGACGAAGCGAGGUUGUGGGGCGUGCGUGGGGCGUGCGUGAUUGUGGAGAGAAGGAAGGGAGAAGAGGAAUAAGUGAAGGGACGUGUUUCGGGCUUUGAGUAGGUUAAAAAAAUUGAGAAAGGGUAUAACAGGUUAUUAAUAAUAUAAUUUGUUUAAUAAAAUACAAUUGGAUUUAUCUCAAAAAGGAGGAAAAAAAAAAGGAUUUAGUCUAAUGAUACAUUGUAUAUGAGGGGGUUAUCUCAAAUAAUCCCUUAUUUUUUUUAUCCAUAUCUUACUCUUAUACCCGAAAUCCUAUAAUCUAUACAUUCACGAAUUUCCAAUUCAAAUUUCUCUCUCUCUCUCUCUCUCUCUCUCUCUCUCUCUCUCUCUCUCUCUCUCUCUCUCUCUCUCAUUGUAGCACGAAGACCGGCAACGAGAGUCGUGGUGGCAGCGGCAGGGGUUUGUGCGGCCAGGGGCUGUGGUUGUGGUGGAGAUGUUAUUGAAAACAAAUUUUUACAAUUUGCAUUUGAUUUUCUUAUAUUUUAAGAGAUUGUGCUUGUUUUUGGUUCAAAAUGACAGUCUGGGUUUUCCGAAAGUUAGUAGGUGACUACGUCGCGGCGACUGCGACGGUUGGUGCUAGAGUGGGCGGCGGCUGCAAUGGUUGCUAGGGUUGGUGACAAGUGGGAGUUGUGGGUGACGAUUGGAAUAGUAAAUCACAGUACAUCAUAGUAUACUAUAGUACACCGUAGUAUACCAUAGUCUACUACAGACCUAUUAAAAAGUAUAUAAAUUGAAAUUAAUUUUUUUUUUGAAAAAACAGUAUUUUUUAUUUUUUUGUAAUUUACAGUAUUAUGUAUGUAUAAAGGAAUAAUUUUUUUUUUAUAAUAGUGUAUAAAAUACUAAAAUGAAAAAGGGAAGAAAAAAAAGGACAAAGGGAUAUUAUGUAUUAGAAUAAUAAACGAAAGACCACAGCGACAAGUUGGUUUGUUGGUCACCUACUCUGACAGACUAUGAGUUGGUUAGCGUCUAAAACUGAUUUUAAAAGAGCAUUUUAGGUACUUAAGGGUGGGCAAGGGGGAUCUGUCAAAUUAAUUUCAAAAUGGAGGGGUAUGCACGAGGGUGUAAUUUUUUUGGUGGUUAGUUAUAUAAUUUUCAUAUAAAGGGGUCUCUUAAAUAAUCCCUUUACGAUGUUUUUCGCUCUUUUUUUGGUAGAUUUUGAAUGUCUAUUUGUUCCAAAUGAUUAAUUCGUAAAUAAUUCUUACACACACCAAUAUUAUUUGAGUCCGAAACGAAAAACCAAUUCCAUUCAGUUGGAUUGUUUCUAAAAUUGCGAGAUCUAUUAGAAAUAGGCUUUGUUGUUUUAAAUUAUUUUCGCUUUAUGUUUUUUUUCAAAAUUAUCGUUUGUUCCCAGUUUAUUAACCUUUUUUGAGUUUUAUUAACACGUUAUUAUUUAAUUUCAUGAAGUAUACAUACGUAUGUAAUAUCUUGAAUUUUAAAUAAGUUUGAAUGUGGUAAAAAUUUAGAGACUUUUCUGCUCUUUUUCCGUGGAUUUUAAAUGUUCUCAUGGUUAAUUUGAUGUAAUUAAUUUUUACAUACACCAGUCGUAUUUGAGGUCGGAACAAGAAUCAUAUCUUUACGAAGAACGAUUGCACGAAAAACACUCAUGAGCAGAGCUCAUGAAUCACACCAAUCACACCGGGUUAUGGUUAUCCGACGUGGUGUCGGGUUAUAAAAAUCAAAUUUUGUUAUUUCAUGAAAGUUUUAGAAGAUUCAUAUAAAUUCAUAGAAACAUCCGAUGAUGAUUCUAUUAGUUGAGUUCUUUCUAAAAUUGCGAGAUGUAUUAGAAUUAACUUUUAACUCAUUUUCGUAUUUAUUUCCAAAUUGAUCGUUUUUCCCGGUUUAAUAAGGUUUUUUGAGUUUUACUAGCACAUUAUUACUUUCACGAAGUAUAAAUACAUAUGUAAUAACUAGAAUUUAAAAUAAGUUCGAAUAUGGUACAAUUUUUAAUAUUUUCGCUCUUUUUUUGGUGGAUUUUGAAUGUUUAUUUGCUCCAAAUGUUUAAUUCGACAUAAUUAAUUCUUACACACACCAGUCUUAUUUGAGACCAAAACAAAAACCCAAUCCCAAACAAAACUACCCGACUAACAACCCUCAUGUGCGUAGGUCAUGAAUCAAGUGAGAUUUCGGUGAUCCCACAUUUCGACUCAUAUAUAUUAAAAUUUGCUAUUUUAGGAAAGUUUUAGAAAAUUUAUAUAAGUUCAUGAAAACAUCAUAUGCCGAUUUUGGCAGGUUGGUUGUUUAUAAAACUGCGAGAUCUAUUACAAUAAGUUUUGAACUCAUUUUCGCAUUGUUAUGAAAAAUGAUCGUUUUUUUCUCGAUUUAUAAAGGAUUUUUUGAGUUUUAUUAGCACUUUAUUACUUUUACGAAGUAUAAAACGUAUGUAAUAACAAGAAUUUAAACUAAGUUCGAAUGUGGAACAAUUUCAGAGAUUUUUAGCUCUUUCAUCAAUGGAUUUCAAAGAUUUAUUUGGUUUUAAUUCUUACACACACCAGUGGUUUUUAGUCCGGAACUAAAACUUAACCGCAAUAAAAAUGGCCUGACAGAUAAAAUUCAUGAUCGUAGCUCAUGAACUACGUCACAUUUUAGUGAUCCGAAGUCGUUCGAACUCAUAAAAGUCAGAAUUUGUUAUUCUAAGAAAGUUUGAGAAAAUACAUAUCAAUUCGUAGAAACAUCAACUGAGGAUCCCGUCACUUGGGUUGUUUCUAAAAUUGCAAGAUCUAUUAGAUUUAGGUUUUGAAUUCAUUUUUAUGUUUUUGCAAAAUUAUCGUUUUUCCUGGUUUUUUAAAGUUUUUCUAAGUUUUAUUAGCACUUUAUUACUUUCACGAAGUAUAAAUACAUAUGUAAUAGCUAGAAUUUCAAAUAAGUUCGAAUGUGGUAUAAUUUCGGACGUUUUUCGCGAGUUCGAACGUUUAUUUGCUCAACAUGAUUAAUUCGAUUUAAUUAAUUCUUCCAUACACCAGUUUUAUUUGAGUCCAGAACAAAAAUCCAAUCGCAAUCAAAAUUGCCCGACAAACAACACUCAUGAGUACAAGUUAUGAAUCACGUCAGAAGUCGGUGAUUCGCCUCAUUAGAAUCAAAUUUUGCUAUUUUAGGAAAGUUUCAGAAACUUCUUAUCAAUUCAUAGAAACAUCAUGAGGAUUCCGUCGGUUGGAAUGUUUUCUAAAAGUGUGAGAUCUAUUUGAAUUAUAUUUGAACCCAUUUUUCGUUUUUUUUGCAUAAUGAUCGUUUUUCUCCAGUUUAUUAAAGUUAUUUUCAAGUUUUACUAGCACUUUAUAAUUCUCACGAAGUAUAGACGUAUGUUAUAGUAGACUUUAAAAUAAGUUCGAAUGUGGUAUAAUUUCUGAGAUGUUUCUCUAUUUUUUUGGUGGAUUUCAAAUGUUUAUCUCCACAUGAUUAACUAGAAGUAAUUAAUUCUACAUACACCAUUCGUAUUUGAGUCCAGAACAAUAACACAACCUCAAGCAAAACGGUCCAUUCGUAUUUGAGUCCAGAACAAUAACACAACCUCAAGCAAAACGGUCCGACUAAUAAAACUCAUGAGCAUAGCUGAUGAACCACGUUAGACUUUGGUUAUCUAACAUCGUUCCGGCUCAUAAAAAUAAUAUUUUGCUAUUUUAAAAAAGUUUGGGUUUACGUUAUAGUAUAUGAUGUUAUUUUAGUUUUUCCGCUCGAAUAUAUAGUUGCUUUUGAUGGAAUUGUGGUGGGUUCCUUUUAGUUUUACUAGUUUGUGUGUCUCGCACAACUAUAUAAUUGUUUUCAUUACGUAAUUGAUUUCGGCUCUGUUAUUUUUGUUGUGAAAUAAUUUCCAUUAGCUUAUGAGUGUUAAUGAUAUAUGGUAAUAUGAAAUAAUCCACCAAAAUAAGGUUAGUGGAAAAGCCAUUUGUAUAUAAUAAAUAUUGUGUAUGUAUAUAUAUGUCUAUCAUAUAAGGCAAAAUAAGGUAAUAUAAUAGAGAAUCACACUAAUUAGUGGGAUAAUUAACAAAUAAAGAAACAUAAAAAGUUGGGAGAAAAAAGAAGGCUCAUGGCCAUUUUAUUAAUUCAAAGAGUAUACAUGUAUUUAUAGGCAUGAGAAUGCCUUAGUCACCAUUACACAUGUCAUUACUUGAUAACUUCUAUAGUCUAAUUGUGACACCUAUCUAGGAUACUUGUCAAUGCCAUAUUUUCCAAUGUGCUAAAGUCCAUAUUAUUAUAACACCCCCCCUUGCACGUAGCACUAUUGUAUCGAUUGAAUUGAUGCCUCAUUAAAAACCUUAAGCCGGAAAACCCAGUGGGAAAAACCGAUAAGAAGGGAAAAAUAGUGCAUGAUUCAAAUUCAAGUCGUGUGCAUAAGCUGCCUCGCUAAAAACCUUAGCUGGAAAACCCCAAUGGGAUGAAAACCAAUCCUAAGGGAAAAAAGAGUGCAACGCACUUUUGCCCCCCCUGAAUUGAGCAAUAUAAGCCCCCAAAAUGGGCUGUCAAUCAAUUUGUAGGUUGUCUCAUUAAAAACCUUAAGCUGGAAAACCUUAUGGAAAAAAACCAGUCAAAAGGGAAAAAGAGUACAACAUAUCAUAACAUUAUGUGCUCUCCCUGAAACAAAUAAUAUAGGCCUCCGAAAUAGGCUAUUUAUAAAUCAUAAGUUGCCUCGUUAAAAACCUUAUGUCGAAAAAACCACAUGGGAAAUGACCAAACAAAAGCGAAAAAGAGUGCAACAUAUCAUCACUCCGUCUUUGCGUUACGCAUUUUAAAUCCACAGGAGUUUAAAUAUUAAAAUUUAGUGAAUUAUAAAGAUGACAUUAGAAUGUUUGUUAGACGUAUGUCCAUUCCCUCAUGGACAACCCUAGGAAACGAAAAAUGAUUGUAUUCAUUACGUGUGAAUACAUAUAAUCAUAAUUAAUCCCAUAUCAUCAGGAUAAUUCUUGAGUAAUAAGGCCGACAUUAUAUCGUACAAUUUUGUUGUCAUUAUUUCUCUAACGAACAAAAUCCCAUUUAUAUCCAGAGAAUUUUACAUUGUCCGGAGUUUGUACAACUAACCCAUAUUUUAUUUCGUUUCUCUAGGAAAGUCAAUCCCAAUUUAACCGCUUUCUCGCAUUUAGGCCAAACUCGGCUUUGUUGACAUUCUAUUUUUUGAAUGUGGUUCACUGGCAUAAUUAUCUCAAAAAAUUAUAAUUGCCUUCCUUGAGAGAUUAAACUCUACAGAAUUAUAUAUAGCAUGUUUAUUAUGAUGACCUGUUUAUUCAGUGGAUUAAAUUAAUCAAUAUGAGUGUGAGCGUGUGCUACAAGGUACUGAUAUUUAUCCCAUGUACUGCACAAUCUUAUCAAAAUUAUUUUUGAUCGAGUUUCUCUGGCACUAUCUCUUAUCAUAUGCCCGGGGUAUAGUAAUUUGUGCAGAAAAUAUGCGAAAUAAUAUUGCACGUAUAUAAUAAACACACGCGAGACCAUCUAUAAGAUGCUUCUCACAAAUAAUAAAUAUUUAAGAUAUUGGUGCACUUGAAAGGUUGUAUUGGUCCAUAAAUAUCAACCCUUUUGCACUAAAGGUUAUAUAACGAGAUCUAUGUUUAAUAUAAAUCACAUAAAUACUCUUCGGACAUUGGGAUCCCUUCACCGUUUAACAAAUGUCCUUUAGUAUCUUAUGUAUUUCUACACAUCAUUAUAUUUUAUGGGCGUCCCCAUACUAUCAUGCCAAAACCUGAAUAUUUGAGGAUUAACCAGUUUAUAUGACAUGUUGGUGUAGUAAUUGAAAACUCGAAUUAGGACACAAUACAGUACAAGAGCUAAUGCUUUUAAUAAGCAGAACAAUUGUUUAUUCCUAGAGCCAUAAUCUCUACGGAAAGUAAUUUAGUUUUAGUUCGUGCUUUGCGCAAUAUCACACUCAAUAAAAUUUGGAAUAUAUUAAAUUUUUAAUUAGACUAAUACAUCGUCCGGGGAGAUUUAAACUCAACCUCGGGAAUAUAUAUAUUUCAUGGGAGAUAUGCAAACUUUACUUCAGGAAUAUUUCAUCUAAAGGAGAACUUCUAAAAUUCGACCUCGUGAAUAUGUCACUCGAGGGUGAUAUGUAGUUUAUCUUAAUUUCGGGAAUCAGUCCGAGAAAGAUAUAUAACUCAAUUUCAAAGUUCGGAAUUAUAAUAUAGAGACAAUAGUCUAUUAUGUUUGUGUUUCACAUGUACAUCCAUAUUAAAUAAUAUUUCCAUAAAAUACUAACUCAAUCUUGAGAAGUUAACAUCCAAAAGAUAUAUAUAAUUUAACCUCGAGAAUGUUUUCGUUCUAGGGAGUUUUGCAAACUUGAUCCCGGGAAUUGAACAUUCGAGAGAGAUAUGUACAUGUUGCACAAUUAGUAGACAUAUCGAAUUAACUUUGAAAUAUUACCAAUAUCAUCAGGGGUGUAUAAGCUCGACCUUGGGAAUAUUUCUUCCAAGGGGAUAUUUCUUCCGAGCUAGAGAGUCGUAAAUUUUUAUUUGGGGAAUAUAUAAUUAAGCUCGACCUCAGGAAUGUAUCGUCCGAGGGAGAUAUUAUAAACUCGAUCUCGGGCAUAUGUCGUCCGAGAGAUAUAUACAUUUUAUCUUAGAAAUUAGCUCAAUCUCGAGAAUAAAAUCAUCCGAGAGAAGUAUUUAAAUUUGACGUCAUUUAUAUUUAUUUCGAGAAAAUAUUAUAGGCUCAACCUCGGGUAUAUAUCGUUCGAGGGAGGUAUGUUCAUAAAUAAAUAAAUUCAAUCUCGACAACCGUUACAUCGAGAGAGUUAUAUCGUAAUCAUUAAAAAAUAUUAUCAUUGCAUGAUCUCAAAUAUAUUGUAACACCCCGCAUUUUCGGUAAAAUAAUUUUUACCACCUUUAUGUGCAUAUUUGUGAAAUUAGAAUUUAUAAUAAUUCUUGCAUGAUUAGUAGUUACGUGAAUUAGGUAAUUAUGUGAUUAUUAUGUGAAUUAUGUGAUUAUGUGAAUUAUGUGCUUAGGAAAUAUUUCGAGAUAUUAUUUCGAAAUAAAUUAUUUUCAUGAAUUAGGAUUUUAUUCUUGCAUAUGAAUUUAAAUGAGCAUUUCAUCAUAUUAUUGCAUGCACAAAAUUUUAGAAAAUGAAUUUUUAUCAUAAAUUUUAGGAUUUUUAAUUAAUGUCGAAAAUUAAAAAAUCCUCCCCACAUUUUCUUGAAUUUUCGGACAUCACACACACACACACACAUGAUUUUUAAAUUUUUGCAUAUUAAUUAGUAGAAAAACAUGCAUUAGUGUGGUUGUACUUUGAGCAUAGAAAGAAAUACUCAAGCCUAGUUCCCUGCUCUAUAGACUAGGCAUGCUUUUCACUCCUUUAAGUAAGACCAAAGGUCUUUCUUCUUCUCCCUUCCUCCUUCAUUUCGGCAGCCAUCACCCCCACCACCAUAGCCACCAUUUUCUCAAGCUUGAACCACCCAAGAACCACCACCACCUCAACUUUCGGAAAUUGCAAAAUCACCCCCACAAAAAAAUGUAUUUUCCUUUCUUCUCCAUUGGCUUUGAACUCUCCAAAUAUUCUAUAAAUACCUCCCAUGCCCAAGAUCAAAAUACACUCUCAAACUCCACUCUUACAAUCCUGAAGUUCAAAGUCUCCUUCUAUUUCAACAAAAGGAGAAUUUUCGGCCAAGCUUAGGAGUAAGCUUCUCCUCCCUCUUCUUUCUUCUUCUUUUCCGAAAGAGCAAAGCUCUUCUUCCUCCAAGUUCUUUUGUUUUCUUCUUAUUUUCUUAAUGCCUAAUCUAACUCUUAAUCUCUUCUUGUAUUAGAGAGAAAAGAGCUAACAAAUCCUUCCCCUAAAGAGUAGAGGUGAGAAUUCUUGAAUUCUUGCUCAAAACUACAACACCACUAGUAUUUUCGGUUCUUAUGUGUUUUUAUGUGUUUUUAUUGUUUAUCCUUGCAUAUUAUGUGAUUAUAUGUUUUAGAUGAUGAUUGCAUGUUAGUGUUUUGAAAAGAUAACUUUGUUCUUGAAGUUUUAUGUUUUUUCGAAAAUUUGGGGAAAAAUGUUUAAAUUGCUUAUUUGGCUUAAUUAGUGCCUUGCAUGUGUUAAUCUAGUGUUUGAUUGUUGAUUUGUGAAAAGAAAAUGAAUUUUGGCCUACCCAUGAAACUUUCGAAAUUUUUGGGGAAAAUGCUUAAACUGCUUAUUUGGCUUAAUUAGUGCCUUGCAUGUGUAAAUCUAGUGUUUGAUUGUUGAUUUGUGAAUAAAAAUUGAAGUUUUGACUUAGCUAAGUAACCUUCGAAUUUUGAGGUAAAAUGCUUAAAAUUUCUUAUUUGGUCUAUUUGCUAUCUUAUAUGUGUUGAUCUUGUGUCGAUUGUUGUUUUAAGGCCUUGCAUGUAAGAUUUGGUGAUUGAUUGUUGAUCUAAGGUCUUGCAUGUUAAGAUCUAGUGAUUGAUGGUUGAUCUAAAGUCUUGCAUGUUAAGAUCUAGUGUUUUCUAUGUAAAACGUUGGGGGUACCCAGGGGUUCAACGGCUUGUUGCAUACGCUAAAUGCAAUCGUGAUUCCCUACGUUAAUGGCCUAGGUUUAGUUUUUUGCUUAAAGUCUUGAAUUUUAUUCUUGUAAAAAUGCUAGAUUUAGUAAACUUUUGAUGUUAUAUUGUCUUUGCAUAUUGAUAAGUGUUCGUUUUGCACAACUUUUACUUAUCUAAUCUUCGUGUUUUGGUCUUCAUUCGUCCGAGUUUUCGGCUUUAUUUGUAUAUAUUAUGUUGUUUUUGUUUUAUUUAUAUUUUUAGGUAAAGAUAAGCUAUUUUUGCCGAUUCGAGACGAUUUUGGAAGCGAAGCCGAGAAUCAAACCAAACACGUGCAAAAGUGCAUUCUCGCGGAUUGUGGCAGUGUUUGGUAUUUCAAGCAUAACUUUUGCAUACGACCUCCGAUUGGGCUGAUUCAAGUGGAUUUAGAAAGAUAACUUCAAGGGCUACAACUUUUGUGAAAUGCACAAUUGUCGAAUUCGGGCUGAAAAAGGGUGAAAAAAGUGUUUGAAGUUAAUGCAGAGGCCAGAUCGCGAUCCAGAAUCACCGGAUCGCGAUCUGGUGCCAAAUUCCAGUAGCAGCGAAAAGUUGGGGCAGAUCGCGAUCCGCACUUCCUGGAUCGCGAUCUGGGAAGGCGGUGGGCAGUUUUCGAGGUUGCCAGAUCGCGAUCCAAGAAGCCCAGAUCGCGAUCUGGGCACAGAAAUCGAGACUAGAUAUUUUUCUUUGAUUUUUCACUAUAAAUAGAAGGUCUCUUUUUCAUUUUUAUAUAUCUCGAUUAACUCUCGAUUAUCUCUCGACUUCUUCUUCGGUUUUCUCUUCGGUUCUCGCCAGUUCUUCGCGGGAAGCUUCGACGAGGGUUUCGACUCGGGUUUUUCAUAAGCUUUUCUUUACGUUUAGUUUAUAAUUUCUCGUGUUCUUCAUUUUGAUGCUAUGUUUGUAAUGAACUAAGCAUUUUCUUUUAGGGAAAUGAAACCUUGUAUAUAUUGAUUUUGAUUUCCAGAUCUGUGAUCUUUUUGUCGUUCUUUGAUUCUGUUUAUGUUUUCAUGUAUUAAAUGCUUUCGAUUGUUUGGCCAACAGUUGAAUUGAUUCUAAAUGGGAAUGAACUCGAGAGAGGAUUUCUCGUUUGAUUUUAGGAAAACAUAGCUCGGGUUGUGGAAACGGAGACGUGAUGCACCUCGGGUAGCCCUUAAGGACUUGACCUAAAUGCUCUCUUAAUAUCAGGUUCUGAACGGAGACGUCGGACCUGUGGGUAGACUCUAACUACACUGGAGACGGGGGUUAGGGUACUUUAGUGUCUGGGUUAGCGAACAUAGAAUUGACAAUAGAUUUCGAUUUGUAGAUCUUUAUCGAUAGUACACUGGUGGAUUUUACCCUAGAAGCCAUCACACGUUGGAAUUCCUCGCGUAUACUGGCGGACCGUUGUUUUCAUUAUUUUUGUUUCCUUUUGGCUUCAUGUCAUCUCCCAUCUUUUUCUCCCGUCUAGAUACAGUUUAGGAUAGUAUAAUUACGGUACUUGGUAGAUUUAGGAACUUAAUUCCCUGUGGAUCGAUAUCUGGAAUUCACUAUUCUACAAAACGCGAUACUGUACACUUGCGGUUAUUUAUACGUAGGUUUUACGCGUAUCAAGUUUUUGGCGCCGUUGCCGGGGAAUUAGUUAAUCUUGAAUUUACUAAUAUCGUUACCAACUAUCGUUACUUUACUUUAGACAAUUUUUUUUCUUUUGAUUUUUUUUUUUAAUUUUUAUAGCAGAUUUGUAUACAUCGAUGGCCUCGAUUUAUGAUCUCUCUCUUUGCAAGAUUCAAUCCAGAGCUGAUUACAUUCAACAUGAGUUGGAGGAUAUUGAAAGACAUCGAAGGUUGAACCCAGAAAAUGGAAUUGCACAAACAAAUGAGCACUUCUGCUAUCUACAAGAAGAACUCCACUUUUUGGCAAAUAUUUUCGAAAAUUUCAAGAGAUGUCACAUUCACAAACCACAUCCGACCAUCCUUUAUGAAGACAACGAGGUAUUUACAGAUUUUCGUAUAAACGAUGAGGUUGAGCACCUUGAGGGAAUUAUUCAUCCCAGUUCUGUAGAUACUUUAGCGUGUGAUGAGAGUGGGAUGAAGAUGAUGGUAGAGGAACUUGACGAACAUAAUCCUAUCCACAUUGCUAUUCCAGAUUUGAGUGUGAGCAAGGAGACGAGUUUCAAAUUUGAGGUAGAGCUUUCUCCAAAGCUCGAGUAUCUUGUAUACGAGUUUGAGAGAUCGGUAGGCAAGCAACCCAUCCUAGUCUCCUACCGACUGAUUUCCAAAGCAAACGAAAAGUACCAUGGGUUGGGAUGGUCAUUACAAGAUUGCAAUCUAGUCCACGAUAUGAUUGCAAAGUAUGUAUCAAGACUGACGGAUGGAUGCGCAAUCUACAAGGUUUUGGAUUGGACAUAAUCCGUCCAAAACGUGUCGAGCCGUCGACUGUAAAACAGGCGCUGAAUGGGAGGCAACCCAUUAUUCAUUUUUCGUCAUUUAUUUUGUUAGUUUUCUUUUAUUUUUGCAUUUUUUUUAUUUAAAGCUAGAUUUCACCCAUUUUUCUUGAUUUUUGCCGGUAUCUCGUCCCCAAGGAAAGAAGAGUAAGAAGUCGGGAAGUCUAGGCAAUUCCGGCAAUUCGCUCUCGGUGCCAAAAUUCACGGCACCCCGUGCAACCAAAGAACACUUUCGCAACCGUAGAACACUGAUCAAUCUGCGGCACGACUGUUCAGGGCGUAUUUCUUUCUCAUAUCUUUUAUUUUUCGCAUUGAGGGCAAUGCAUGAUUUAAGUUUGGGGGUGCGUUUAGCUUAUUUUGAUUUGGUCUUUUGCAUGCAUAUCAUAUAAUUUAGUUUUAUUUAUGUAUUUCGAUUUUCGUAAUUGUGUUAUGUUUGUCACAUGCAUUUCAUAUAGGAUCGAGUGUAAGUUGCAUUUCCGGAUUCUAUUGAAGCAAAGCAAUUAAUGAAUUAGUAGACUGGCUAGUUGAUUUUAAAAUUGAAAUUAUGGAUAACCGGCUAAUUAUAGAUGUACCUUCCGACUGCGUUUUUGCAACUUGUGUGGAUAGCCUUUCGAAUCCUUUCCGAUUAAGCUUGAGCGCACUUUUCUGAGGGGUAUAAUAGUCUGAGGUUUGGGGGGCGAGUUAGAAUUGAAUUAUGUGUUCACGAUUUCCAGUUGUUGGCUAAAAGUUCUAUCAAUGGUCUUUACGUUUUUAUUUUAUGUUCGAUGUUAAAAAAAAAAAAAAGAGAAAAAUAAUAAUUUAUGGUAGUGUUGUGAUUCACGCUUUGAUUUCCCCGCCUUUCUGACUCGAGCUUAACCCGUUGGGUGCACCUCGUCACCUAAGUCUCUCGAGCUGUCGAGCUUGGGGGUUUCUUGGACUAAAGUUCGAUACAUGGGUCAGGGAGAUAACACAGUGGUGUCGAGCCUUGCACGAGUCACGAUUAUGCCCGUUUCAAAAAAAAAUGAAAAAAGAAAAAAUUGUGAUGAAAAUCACCAAAAAUAUUGUUGUUGUCAUUUCUUAUAUUGAAUAAAUAGACCUACUUAUGCCCAACUCGAGUUUUUGAAUUUCAGAAUCAAAACUUGCUUUUCACCCACAUUUCUACUCAAAAACCUCGAUGAUUGUGUUUAUUGUUUAAUUACGGAUUCUUGAGUCUAUCUUUCAUUUUGGUGUAGAAACAACUAAUUGCGUCGGUAGGAAAGUCGAAUACCUUAAGCCGUAUGCCAUUCUAAGAUUUUAAGUUAUCUAGCUUGUUUUAUCUUUGGAAUUAAUUGCAAUGCUUUGACCAAUCCGGCAACUUUGUGGGUGUGUUGUCUGAAAACCCUCACGAGACACAACUCGUCCUUUGGGGGUACCCAGGGGUUCAACGGCUUGUUGCAUACGCUAAAUGCAAUCGUGAUUCCCUACGUUAAUGGCCUAGGUUUAGUUUUUUGCUUUCGUCGUUUUUGUUUUUGGGUUGUAGUUUGUUUCGUUUUGAUUUACUCGGGACGAGUAAAGAUCUAAGUUUGAGGGUGUGAUAAGUGUUCGUUUUGCACAACUUUUACUUAUCUAAUCUUCGUGUUUUGGUCUUCAUUCGUCCGAGUUUUCGGCUUUAUUUGUAUAUAUUAUGUUGUUUUUGUUUUAUUUAUAUUUUUAGGUAAAGAUAAGCUAUUUUUGCCGAUUCGAGACGAUUUUGGAAGCGAAGCCGAGAAUCAAACCAAACACGUGCAAAAGUGCAUUCUCGCGGAUUGUGGCAGUGUUUGGUAUUUCAAGCAUAACUUUUGCAUACGACCUCCGAUUGGGCUGAUUCAAGUGGAUUUAGAAAGAUAACUUCAAGGGCUACAACUUUUGUGAAAUGCACAAUUGUCGAAUUCGGGCUGAAAAAGGGUGAAAAAAGUGUUUGAAGUUAAUGCAGAGGCCAGAUCGCGAUCCAGAAUCACCGGAUCGCGAUCUGGUGCCAAAUUCCAGUAGCAGCGAAAAGUUGGGGCAGAUCGCGAUCCGCACUUCCUGGAUCGCGAUCUGGGAAGGCGGUGGGCAGUUUUCGAGGUUGCCAGAUCGCGAUCCAAGAAGCCCAGAUCGCGAUCUGGGCACAGAAAUCGAGACUAGAUAUUUUUCUUUGAUUUUUCACUAUAAAUAGAAGGUCUCUUUUUCAUUUUUAUAUAUCUCGAUUAACUCUCGAUUAUCUCUCGACUUCUUCUUCGGUUUUCUCUUCGGUUCUCGCCAGUUCUUCGCGGGAAGCUUCGACGAGGGUUUCGACUCGGGUUUUUCAUAAGCUUUUCUUUACGUUUAGUUUAUAAUUUCUCGUGUUCUUCAUUUUGAUGCUAUGUUUGUAAUGAACUAAGCAUUUUCUUUUAGGGAAAUGAAACCUUGUAUAUAUUGAUUUUGAUUUCCAGAUCUGUGAUCUUUUUGUCGUUCUUUGAUUCUGUUUAUGUUUUCAUGUAUUCAAUGCUUUCGAUUGUUUGGCCAACAGUUGAAUUGAUUCUAAAUGGGAAUGAACUCGAGAGAGGAUUUCUCGUUUGAUUUUAGGAAAACAUAGCUCGGGUUGUGGAAACGGAGACGUGAUGCACCUCGGGUAGCCCUUAAGGACUUGACCUAAAUGCUCUCUUAAUAUCAGGUUCUGAACGGAGACGUCGGACCUGUGGGUAGACUCUAACUACACUGGAGACGGGGGUUAGGGUACUUUAGUGUCUGGGUUAGCGAACAUAGAAUUGACAAUAGAUUUCGAUUUGUAGAUCUUUAUCGAUAGUACACUGGUGGAUUUUACCCUAGAAGCCAUCACACGUUGGAAUUCCUCGCGUAUACUGGCGGACCGUUGUUUUCAUUAUUUUUGUUUCCUUUUGGCUUCAUGUCAUCUCCCAUCUUUUUCUCCCGUCUAGAUACAGUUUAGGAUAGUAUAAUUACGGUACUUGGUAGAUUUAGGAACUUAAUUCCCUGUGGAUCGAUAUCUGGAAUUCACUAUUCUACAAAACGCGAUACUGUACACUUGCGGUUAUUUAUACGUAGGUUUUACGCGUAUCACAUAUUAAGAUUUCGGUUACUUUUAUGUUUUUAUGGCUAAAUGAUUUUGUGAAACUUUAUGUGUAUUUUCGAUGUGCUCUUGCUUGCUUAUGUGAAUCAUUGGGUGUGAGGACGAGAGAAGGGUAAGUAGAAGGGUGCAUGUGUGGGUGCAUUAGUGUCAUGAAUUUUAAAAGAUAAAACUAUCUUGGAAAGUCUUUCGAGGUUACGGUAAAUUUCCCAGGUACGGCGAGUCGGUACCGUAGGGCCUAGGGGUGGUUUGAUCCCACGUAGAUAGACAUGAUUCGAUAUAUAUGUGAGGUUAUUUACCGGUAACUUAGAUUGGCUCUUCCGAGGGAUUCCCGACAAUUUUUCAUGUCAUGCAUGUUGCAUUAUGGUGUUGAUGAUAUAGGUGGGAAAAUCUCACUCUAUGGUCUUAGGAUCGUAGGGUUAUAAAGGUGGGAAAUUCCUUCUAUAAUCUUCAAUACGUGUCAUGGCAUAGGGUUAUAAAGGUGGGAUAUUCUCACUCUAUGGUCUUGGGAUCAUAGGGUUAUAAAAGUGGGAAUUAUCUCACUCUAUGCGUGUGGCAAUUAUGUGAUGAAGAACGCCGACGAAAAAGGGAAGUAUAUGAUUGUUUUACUUUAUGUUGCAUGUUCAUGUAUAAGAUAUAUGUAUGUAUAUANNNNNNNNNNNNNNNNNNNNNNNNNNNNNNNNNNNNNNNNNNNNNNNNNNNNNNNNNNNNNNNNNNNNNNNNNNNNNNNNNNNNNNNNNNNNNNNNNNNNUAUAGAUAUAUGUAUGCUCUAUGGGCUAAGGGUAUUCGAUCAUACUUCAAGAUUCUCAUUGAGUCCUCAAAGGCUCAUAUAGGUGUUGUAUGUUUGUAGGUAUACCCGAUUUGGAGCCCGAGGAAGUGAAGUUGGGAAUCGAGCUCGAGAAUCGGAGGAGAUCGUAUGGAGGGGUUGUGGAUUGUGUUGGCUCUUAAUCUAGUCAUGUGGUUUUAUUUGUAUAAUAUGCUUGUAAAAACUUUUGAUACGGUUUUAGGUAUUUUCUACCGUUCGCUUCCUCCGAUCGGUGGGAAUUAUUAAAAGACGAUAUGUGUAAUAGUAAUUAGGAUUACCCUAUUUUGGAUAAUUAAUCGGUAAUCCGUAGCUUUUGUAAGCGAAAGCAAAUUUUCACUAUUUAUAUGUAUGCAUGCUUCCGGCUAGUAAUUUCUUCGUGUUUUGUCUCCAUGUUCUAAAAUUAUUUUCGUAUAGGUUCUCUGCUUAGAAAAUUAUGAAAUUUUAGGAGUCUCUGCAUAUCUCUGUUCUCAUUAUAUUGAUAGGUCUUAUGCAUGAUUUGGGUAAGUAUUUAUUUAGUUAUGAUUUAUUUCUCACUACUGCACUGAAACAGGGUCAUUCGGGUGUUUUCUGGUAUAACUGGAGUUUUACUCACUCAAAUACCUUGUUUCCACUUGUAAAAUGUUUUCAACUUACCUUUCUGCCUUGGGGUAAAAUUGGGUAGCUUUUGGGUCAGUGAGGAAUUUAUUAUGAAUUUUCAAAACUCCAUCCCCUGUUCUGGAUUUUAAACUGAGUGACUGUGCCAUUUUAUUUAUUUCUCCUAAAUGGCCAUGCAUCUUUCAAAACUGUUUCAACUGGGUGAUCUAGACCCGUGUUAGAUGAUAUGGUAUUAGUUUGGGGUCAUUUGAAUGAGUAGUUUAAGAGGAAUUAAUUUUUAAAGCUUCUGCAUUGAAUCUGUCCGCAUUUGCAUUAAGUCCAUCAUGCCUAGUUAAUUUCUAGUCUUGCAUGUAGUAUGCUUUUAAAAAGAAAAAUUUUUACGUAAAUUUUAUAUCCACAAAAAUCAUUUUAAAAGUCUUCCGCUGAGAUUACAUAUAAUAAGAGUAAUCGAGAGAGGGGUGUCACAUAUAUAACCUCUACUCUUAUGCCAAAAUAUAUUUCGUAGGCAAUAAACUCAUGAGUUUUAAUUUAUUUUUACCAAAUGAUUUAUGGGCGGAAAUAUUUACAUCUACUUUGAUCAAUUUAACAAGAUCUUGAAGAUGACUAUCUUUCACUUCGUCGUUGUAGGCCUAAUCCCAUAUUUAAUUUUAUAAUGGCCUUUCAAUCAACCCUUAAUAAAAAUGUCCAUCGUUUAUAUGGGUACUGCACCCAAUUAAUUUUAUUUUAAUAGCCUCAUUUGCCUUUGAGGGGAAUCACAACUUUUAGACUUUUAGUGACUCUACGGACAUCACAACAGGAGUUAUAUUUACGGCUUCUAUAUUGGCCAUUAUUGGGGACUACGACGUCCACCAUCUCUACGGACAUUAUGUUCGGAGUAAUUAUCAUAUAGCCUUUAAAUCGACCCUUUAUUUGGACUCCUAUGCGGCGGAGUCAUUUUCAUUUCUCAUUAUCUAAAUCAACACAUUUCCUUUUGCUAAUUCAAACAAGAUUAUUAAAUAAAUAGAUCGAAACUUGCACAUGCCAAUCACAAGUUUCUAAAUUUACAAAAUCAAAAUCAUGUAAUGCAAGUUGAAAAUUCAUAGUCGAGGCGAGAGAUAAUAACCUUUUUUUUUUCUCAUAAAUCAACAUGCACAUAAUUAUAGAUAUACAUCAUUCCUUUCCUCCGAAAAUCGGUUGCGUAUAAAUACCGUAGUAUUCGCUUCACCAUUUGAUAUCGAGGAUCUGGAUUUUAUCAAAUAAAAUAACAUAACAUAAACAAACUUAGAUAAGCUACCUUUUUUCGAGCAGAACUUCGUGCUGAUAAUGUAUUGUGAAAUAAUUUCCAUUAGCUCAUGAGUGUUAAUGAUAUAUGGAAUAAUCCACCAAAAUAAGGUUAGUGGAAAAGCCAUUUAUAUAUAAUAAAUAUUGUGUAUGUAUAUAUAUGUCAUCAUAUAAGGCAAAAUAAUGUAAUAUAAUAGAGAAUCACACUAAUUAGUGGGAUAAUUAACAAAUAAAGAAACAUAAGAAGUUGGGAGAAAAAGAAGGCUCAUGGCCAUUUUAUUAAUUCAAAGAGUAUACAUGUAUUUAUAGGCAUGAGAAUGCCUUAGUCACCAUUACACAUGUCAUUACUUGAUAACUUCUAUAAUCUAAUUGUGAUACUUAUCUAGGACACUUGUCAGUGCCAUAUUUUCCAAUGUGCUAAAGUCCAUAGUAUUAUAACAAUUUUUAUUUUUUAGUUGAUUCAAUAAUUUAUAGUUAAUUUCAAUAUUUUGUAGAUAUUUCAAUAUUUUUUUUAGUUAAUUUUUGAUACUUUAUGGUUGAUUUCAUUGUGGUAGACAUGCUUUUUUUUUUUUAAACAAAUCGAUAAUAUAUUAGGCACUCACGACCAAAUGAGAAGGUAGGAAAGUCCCUUUAACAGAGUCUGAAACAUGAAAGGACGCUAAAUUGUGAGCAAGACAAUUGCCGUGUCUCUUAACAAAAGAAAAUGAACAAAAGAAAAAUAAAUGAGCCCUUCACAAUUUUUUUUUAGGAAUUUCAUUUUGUGGUUCAUAUAUAUAUAUAUAUAUAUAUAUAUAUAUAUAUAUAUAUAUAUAUAUAUAUAUAUAUAUAUAUAUAAAUGUGUGUGUGUGUGAGAUACGGGCUUAGUUGUCAAGGUCCAUAUUGACUUUAAAGCCCUUCACAAAGCCCAAGACUAAAGGCAGUUGGCCUCUUUUUCCGAUCGGGCUUCCCUUCAUCUUCACUUCUCUUUAUCCCCAAGGCCCAUUCCAUUUUAGUAUUAUUAUUUAGGCUUCAUGUAUAUAUAUAUAUGUAUAUUGGCUGAAUAUAUUUUUAGAAAAUAAUAGAAUUUUCAGAAUUAUUUUUGAAAAUUAAAAUCAAGACAAAAAUCAAUGUUUUUUAUUUAUUACAAUUCCAAUCCAAAAAUUCUGAAUUUUCAAAAUUUCAGAUGUGAAUUGAAGUAAGUUGAAAAUUUUCGUUCCAAUUUAUACAUUAGCUGACUAGCCUCAAUGAGCCACAAAGACAGCCAAAAAGAUUCAAGAUAAGUGAAUCAUGGAAAUUAAAUUAUUAACAUCUAAUCCAUAAUUUGUAGGAAAGUUCUAUCAAUUAACUACGAUAUUAUCCAUAGUAAUUUGAGUUUUCAAUAUUCAAACCUGAGAACAAAAGAAUCUGCCAGGCAUAAAUAUAAUCUAUGUUUCUACCAAAAUCAUCGAACAAGAAACAGGACACAAUCCACUGAUAGAACUCCAACGGUCAAGUCAAUAAUAUAUGGAGAGUGUUCGAUCGAUGAUGUUGAAGAGACGGGCAUUGAACACCAAAUGCCCAUAACCAGAGAUCCAACUCAACGCUCAAAACCUGGAUCAAAAGAAACACGAGCCAACGACGAAUUUCAAAUAAAGGAAAAACGUUCAUAAAAGAAAUUAACUACGAAAAUCAACUAGUAAUUAUUCAUGUUUUAUGGAAUUGGGAAAAUGAACAGAGAAGUCCAUUAAUAAGGCAACAGAGGUUGUUUAUGACGAGAGCAGGCUUAGUGCAGGUAGAGAAGCCAAGAAGAGGUUGAAUAAGAGGCUUCAACUACCACACACUAACAGGUGUGUGUGUGUUCGUAUGUUCACAAGAAUAUUAUUGGUGUAUACGGUGGCGGUGGCGGUGGCUGAGGGUCGGUUUGCAUCAGCAGGUGGCAAAUCAUCGCAUUUUGGUUCUUGGCCGCCGCUUUUGCGUACACAGCAAAACGUUGUCUUCGGUCGGAUUAAUAUUGAUUCAAAGAACUGCUCUCUUUUUGUAAGAAACUUGUUUGUUUCCGCCUUUGCUUGGAAUAUUUCGUAUUGUCGGCGGAGAUAGGCCAUUACAUAGGGCGCUGCCGACACUAGCUAAGCGUAGAUGGUAUGGUGUGGCGGCAGUGUGGUGACGAUGGGGAGGCAGAUCUACGUUUUUUUGGUGGAUCAGGCAGAGGACGGUGUGGGUAGAGAAUUCCCGCUGGCUCGAACCUUAAUCGACUACGUACAUGUUCAAUAGUCGAUUAAGCUAAUCGACUAUGCUCUGAUAGUCAAUUACGGUUGAUUUUUUGAUUUUUUUAUGAUUUUUUGUUUAUUGAUUUCAAUUGUAUAAAUCAAUUAUAAUGUUUUGUAUAUUUUUUGUCUUUUGUAAAACAUAGUUGAUUUUGCAUUUUUUCGCAAUUGUGAUUUGUUAUGUUUAGUAGCAGAUUCUUAAUCGACUAUGCUUCAUCAUAGUCGAUUAAUAUACCUGAUAUAGAAAAACAAUUAAAAAACAAAAAUAACAAAUUAAAAAAUUAAAGAUUUUCCUUAAUCGACUAUGAAGCAUAGUCGAUUAAGGCUAAUCGACUAUGCUUCAUAGUCGAUUAAGGAAACUGAUACAAAAAAAAAAAAGAAACAAAAAAAUUCGCUGAGCGCGUGACCCAGUGAUGAUGUGACGGGCAGGGGCAAAGCUGGAAAACACAAUGGCUCAAAAUGGGUGUGGGCUUUUCUCAAAUGGACUGAAAUAUUUUGGACCUCUCUCCAUUAAAAAAAGUAAUAUGAGGGGGGUUUCCUCAAAGAGCCCCUUUGUCUAAAGUCGAUAUUCUCUUACAUACUCAAUAGAUGGAUAAUUCAAACACAAUCGUAAUCUAAAUCAACCUCUGUCUAUUUUCAAAUUGUUAAAGAGUAUCUUAUCUAAUAACAAGUAAAACUCCAUUCAAAUUUUUUUACAUAACUUAAAAAAAAAAAAUCAUUUGGUAAACAAAAGAAAUGUAAAAACAUAAGAUUAGGGUAAGUAAUUUAAAAAACAGAACAUAGGGGAAGUAAUUAUAAUUUUAUAAUUGUGUAUGAAACACGUUGAUUUUCAUAAUGUUUUUAACUCUCUUAUUUUUCAAACUAAAUUUUAGUUAUGGUUAAGUGCUUAGUGGACUAAGUAGUGCUUAGUGGGCUAAGUAUAAUACUUAGUGGACUAAGUAGUGCUUAGUGGGUUAAAUUGUGGAUAUUAUCUUAACUACUAAACAAACCCACUAACCCAUGUUCUUGAGUGCUCUUGUAGUUGGUUUUCUUGCAGAGCAUGGGUUGAGGAGUGGAAGCUUGGAAUGUCUAUAAAUACCGACUUCAAGACUCAAGGAAAGUUGCGGAUUCUAAGAAAUAAAAACCGAGAGCUGAAAAGAAUACAUGAGAUUUUUAGUGUGUUUUUAGAAUCUGUUUUUACGUAAUCCUCAAGAGUACAUUCUUUACGUACUCCUCAUGAGUACAUUCUUUACGUACUCCUCACGAGUACAUUCUUUGAAAUCUAGAAUUUUUAGUAUUUAUCUUUUUUUGUUUCUAGAUUUGAAUGUAAGAAUGAUCAUGUUAAUGAUUCAUUCAUAAGGAAGAAGUUUUCGUACAUCUUCUCUUUGUAUUCGUGUAAUACUGUUUUAAUAUAAUUUUUCCGUCCUGUAAAGGGCAAGUUCACAAGUUUUACUUGUGAACAUUUUUUAGAACGAGUAUUGUUUUUAUAUUUCCGCUGCAUGUAUAUACAUGUGUCAUAGCACUUAAUAUAACAUCCCUGUAUUAAACGAAUUCGGGACCAUAAAUUCUUUCAAUUGGCAUCAAGAGCCAACGCUUGACGUAUACUAAGUGUUUGUUCCUAUUUUUUCAGAAACGAAUUCGUGAUGGAUACUCAGAUGACUGCUUCUAUGCGACCUCCUGUACUUGAUGGCACAAACUACACCUACUGGAAAGUCAAGAUGAUGGCGUACAUCAAAGCCAUUGAUGAGAGAUCCUGGAGAUCUAUUCUUACUGGAUGGAAGCCACCAACUAUCACAGAUGCGGAUGGGGAUGUAUUUACAACACCAGAAUUACGGUGGACAACAGGCGAUCUAUCAAAUGCCAAUCAAAACUCAAAGGCGUAAAAUGCAAUCUUUAAUUCAGUAGGUUUAAAUCAAGAUCGAAGGAAGUUCUUCAUCAAAUUCAAGGCGUUCUUCAUCAAAUCGAGGGCGUUCUUCAACAAAUCAAGAUCGAAGGAAGAUUGAAGGGUCAAAUCCAUCAAGAACUUCAAGAUCUUCAAGUCAAAACCCGUCAAAGUUCAGCGUUCGAUCCGAGAUUCAAGUCGCAAGACCCUCGAAGACGUUAUUCAAAUCCAAAUCAAAUCCGGAGAAGAUUAACUCAACGACCCGACUCCAAAAUUUAAAGUCAAAACAUACAUCGUUCUAGAGAGAAGAAUCAGAGGAUUAAAUUAGAGUUUGUAACCCGCAAUAUUUAUUUUUAAUUCAAUAAAAUUAUCUUUAAUUUGUGCAAGUUUUUCUUGUUUGUCUAAAUCGCAGAUAAGAAUUUGUUGUUACAACUUUCAACUAGAAAUAAUACAGUUUCAUUUAUGAACAGUGAUGAAACAAUUAUUUCACUUUGUCCGGUUCAACACAUGCCGGGUGUGCUAGCACAAUAAGUCAAAACAAUAACUACAAAAGUUAUUCGCUGUUUACUGUGAUCAAGACCAAUCACUUAAAUAUUGUGCUACAAUCUUUUACCAAUGGUUAGUUCAUUUCCAUCUAGAUUGUAAACGUUUAUCUUUAUAUUCUAAACGAACUUUCGAAAUGAUCUUUCUGUGCGCCGUAGCACACCAUCUCGAAUACUAUUAGAAUAUUAGACUUAUGCUUUUAAUUAAUUGACAAACAAUCAAUUAAAUGCAUCGAAUACCCUAGUGCAGAUUCUCAUAAAAUGAUAAUAAACUAUUUUAUUAAUUCAAUAAUAAAAUUAUGUAGCUAAAAGCGAGACUUUUAGUCUACUAUCCUAACAAUCAGACUACCACCAAUAUGAACAACAACUUCAUUUGAAUGAUAACAGUUAUAUAUCAAAAGAUCCUCAAUAUAGUGAGAUCUGCAAUUUCGUAAACAAAAAAGUACCCAAUUGAAAUCCUAAUACUUUGAAAUCCCAAAAUACAAAAAUUGAACCACAACAACAGAAAUCCGUAAUCCUUACACCUCUUCGAGGACACGAGAUAAAUCGACCCUCUUGAUUUUUAUCUGACCAAGAAGUUUGCAAACCCAACUUCAAAUUGCAACCACAAAAACCAAAAUCGUUUGGGAUGUAGUUGUUUUCACGGAAUGUUUUGUGAGAUGCGCUUCCACUGACGUUGUUGCUGGACCCAGAGCUCAUCUCCAAAUAUAUUAGAUAGGAGCAUAAUCGAUUGAGAAUAAAAUGAAAGAAAUUGAUCGACUGCGUGAAGCUCUCUUCAGUAGAGAAAUCGAAUUUUUAUUUUUGUUAUGAAUAUAUUAUGAGCUAAUAGUACAGAACCCCAUGUGUUAUUUCUAAUUGGCAUAAAAGACCUCAUGAUAAAAUAAUUAGCAAAGACCCCCUUACGUUUGGCUUUAUAUAGCACACCGCUCCUUUUUAACAGAUUUAAUUGUUGACUUGAAUGAAAUUACAAAAUUAACCUUGAUUUAAAAACACAAUAUACCGAAAAUCCAAUUGAAAAAUUUGUGAAAAGAAAAAUAAAAAAUAGAGAAGUCUUCUUCUCUUCCCUGUUGACCCACUCCCACCCCAAAAUAAUUCUUCUUCAACAACCAUCAAAUAAGCCAUUUUUACUGUUCCCCUUCUUCCUUCAAUCUUCCACCACCAUACCCAACCGUCAUUACCUCCACCCGUCGUCGGCGCCGCCCCAUACUCUGCCGGUGUUAGCCGUCACCACCAUACCCAACCGCCAUUACCUCCAUCCGCCGCUGCCCCCGCCCCAUACUCUGCCCCCAUACGCUGCCCCCGUCACCACCAUACCCAUCCGCCGCCGCCGCCCCAUACUCAACAUGCUCGUGCCCCUUCUUCGUUGACGGAACUGUGGAUAUGUCGCCGGUUGAAAUGGUCGGAGUUUCUCCGGAGAGAUGGAACAGAGGAAAGGAGACCGCUUACCUUCCCCUUUGACAUUUGUCAGAUUUGGGAGUGGGGAGUUCUGGUGAGGUACCUUCCAAACAUUUUGCCGGAAAAAAAAUAUAUUUGCAAAGGAGGGCACCAUCAGGAAGCAUUGUGUGUGUGUUUUGCGUGAAAAUUGUGGAAAGUUUGAUUGGGGAGGAGAUAAUUUGGAGAGAGGGCGUUUUAGAAAUUGUCAAGGACUGAAUUGAAAAUUCUUAAAGCUUCAAUUUGGGGUUAUGAAAAUUUUGAGGCUAAUAUGUAAUUUUCCACUUUUUAUUUAAAGGGUAUUUAUAUCUUUUCAGGUCAAAAUAUGCAUCCCAGCCGCACAAUGAGCGCGUGCAGAACACGAUAAGAUGUUAGGGACUUUAUUGGCUUUGACUAACUUUCAUAGGGGGGUCUUUGCUAAUUUUUUUAACAUAAAGGGUUUUUCAGCAAUUAGAAAUUACACAACGGUGGUUCUUGCAAAAAACCCAAUAUAUUAUAUGUCAAUUUAUUAUUAUUCUUAUAAAAAUGGCAUUUUAGUAUAUUUAUCAAUUAUAAUUAUAUCAUCUCACACAAAAAAAACGUGUGAGUAAUUUAUCACCAGAAAUAUAUUCAAAAAAAGCAAACAAGAGAAUAGCAAAGUUACGUAUUCAUCUUCACCACAAAUCUAUCUAAUCUAUAUCACCGCCCAACUGCCGGUCUAUAGACUAUAUAUACAUACCAUUCAAAGCUUGCAGCUCAGACUCUCACCAUUGAAGAGCAAAAAAACAAUAACAAAACUAAAGAAAUCAUCAUUUCAUUUCUUCUAUCCCUCCCAUGGAUUUUCCAACAUUUCUUCUGGUUGUCUUAUCCAUCAUUUGGAUAUCUACCAUGAUUCUUACUUUCAAUUCCAGGGCCCGAAAGUCAUCCAAACUCCCUCCAGGCCCGAAUAGAUUCCCCAUAAUAGGCAACAUCCUCGAAAUCGGGCCGAAACCCCACAAAUCACUCGCCAAAUUAGCAGCCAAAUACGGGCCGGUUAUGUCACUAAAACUCGGUACACUAACAACAGUAAUCAUCUCCUCCCCCAAAGCUGCAAAAGCAGUGCUUCAAACACACGAUUUAAUCUUUUCCAGCAGAACAGUUCCCUGCGCCGCCGAAAUCCUCAGCCACCACGAAUCCUCCAUUGCGUGGCUUCCCGCCGAGAAUCGAUGGCGGAAGCUCCGAAAAUUAUGCCAAGAGCAGAUGUUUUCCGUCGCCAGGCUGGACGCCAGCCAGAAUUUGAGGAGAGAGAAGCUGCGGAAGCUCCGCGGCUACGUCGGAGCCUGCUCCGAAACGGGCCGGGCCGUGGAUAUCGGCGACGCCGCAUUCACGACGGCACUGAAUUUGAUGUCGGCGACUCUUUUCUCGUUAGAAUUCGCGCCGGAGUUCGAUUCUGAUUCGUCGCAGGAGAUGAAGGACGUUGUUUGGGGGGUGAUGAAAUGCGCCGGUAGACCGAAUUUUGCGGAUUAUUUCCCCAUUCUUAAACCGGUCGAUCCUCAGGGAAUCCUCAAAGAAGCAAAGAUUUAUUUCCAGAAGCUGUUUGUUAUUUUUGAUGGGAUAGUUGACGAUAAGUUAAAAUCUGGGGGUGAAAGUGGGAAAGAAGAUUUGUUGGAGGCCUUGAUUGAAAUUAACCGAAGGGAUGAGAAUGAAUUAACCAAAAAUGAGAUCAAACAUCUCCUGCUGGUAAGUUCUGCACUUGUUUCCCCAAUAGAAAGUAGUUCUAUAACUGUUAUUUUUUAUAUAUUUUUAUUUAUAUUUUUUAUUUUUUGUUAGGUAAACUUAAUUAGUCAACUAGGUUUGGAAAUCAAAUCAAACUUCUCAAUAUUAAAUGAUAUUUGCUUGGUUGGUUAAAACCUCAUUGGAGUUUAGUUUAAUAAAACCAAAAUUUUGACUUACUAUUAGGGCUGAAAGUUAUGGAAUUUCUAAUUUUGCCUGUUCCGAUUUAGGAACAACUUUUUUUAUUCAUGUUUUCGAAAUUUUAAUUUCAGAUUUUUUUAGAUUGAAAUUGGACUUAUAUAAAUUUGUUUUUAAAAUUUUAAAUUUUCAUUCUGAUUUAAUUUCUAAAAUUAAUUUCGAAAAACUAUACACACAUAUAUAAUAUCUUAUUUAUCUUACUUUGUGUAAAUAAUUUAAAUAUUUUACAUAUUAUUACAGAGGUAUGUUGGAGACCCAAAAUAUUUCAUUUGCUAUUUUUCAUGUGAAAAGAGACCUAGUUUAUUUCCUAAUUUAAACAUUUAUUAUUUCAGGGUUUAGUAUUUUUUGUUGUAUUUGAAUUAAUAUAUAGGUCCCUACAAAUAAAAGGAAAUAAGUGCUAAAUUGAAAUCAUUAUAUUUUAUUUUUAAAAUAUACAAUUUAUCAAAUGAGUGGUCUUAAUUUUACAAUUUUAUGAAAGUGAGUGUUCUUAUUUUUAAAAAUUUGAAAGUAAAAUGGAGAUGUUUGGUUAUGUUUCCAAGGGGAAUUUCUAGUUUAUUUGUUUUUUGUGUAGAAAAUGAGAAUAUGUUUGGAUGAAUGGGUAUUUUUAGUUUUAUGUAAGUGUAGAAAUGGGUAUAUGUUUGGUUGUGGUGAAUUUUCUCUACGAUAGUACGUGCAAAUGUAGAAUAUAAUGAUUGAGGAUGAUGAUAUUGAUGAUGAUGAUUAUUAUUAUUAUUAUUAUUAUUAUUAUUAUUAUUAUUAUUAUUAUUAUUAGUAGUAGUAGUAGAUAGAGAAAUUGAGAAAAGGGAGUGUAGAUAGUAAUUAAGAGAUAGAAAUGAGAGGAGAGAGAGUGUGCAUGUUAAUGAGGAGAGAGAAAUGAGUUGAUGGAAUAAGAUAAGAUUUGUUUUUUUUUUUCUUUUUUUUUAUUAUUUUACUAAAUUGAAUUUUUUUUUUGAGUAAUUAUUGAAUUGAAUUUUUUUUUGAGUAAUUAUUGAAUUGAAUUUUAAGUUGAAUAAUUAUUGAAUUGAAUUUUAACUUUUAAGUUUGAUAUAUUUGUUAGGAUUUAUUCCUAGCUGGAACGGACACCACAAGUGGAACAGUGGAAUGGGCGAUGGCGGAAUUACUAAAACACCCUCAUAAAAUGUGUCGUGUCAGACAAGAAAUCAGAGACACCGUUGGAGAAAACAUAGAAGUUGAAGAAUCUGACAUCGCCCGGCUCCCCUACCUACAGGCGGUGGUUAAAGAGACGUUCCGCCUCCACCCCACCGGCCCUUUGCUGGUGCCCCACAAGGCCAACGCCGACGUUGAAAUCAACGGCUACAUCG
This 31032-nucleotide long non-coding RNA is filed under the name Erythranthe guttata (spotted monkey flower). RNAcentral's name for it is "long non-coding RNA (EGUT_LNC001980)". The record is from RNAcentral. Lineage: Eukaryota; Viridiplantae; Streptophyta; Magnoliopsida; Lamiales; Phrymaceae.